Molecule: small nucleolar RNA, 202 nt
Organism: Echinops telfairi (small Madagascar hedgehog)
Lineage: Eukaryota; Metazoa; Chordata; Mammalia; Afrosoricida; Tenrecidae
Gene: SNORA73
Rfam family: Small nucleolar RNA SNORA73 family
About the family: U17 (SNORA73A and SNORA73B) also known as E1 belongs to the H/ACA class of small nucleolar RNAs (snoRNAs). Vertebrate U17 is intron-encoded and ranges in length from 200-230 nucleotides, longer than most snoRNAs. It is one of the most abundant snoRNAs in human cells and is essential for the cleavage of pre-rRNA within the 5' external transcribed spacer (ETS).
Source: Ensembl
CCGACGUGGAUACUCCCGGGAGGUCACUCUCCCCGGGCUCUGUCCAGGUGGCACGGAGGAGCACAGGGCUAAGGGCCCCAUGACAGACAGUCCUUUUCCACGUCGGAGAUGAAGCCGGGCCUGAGCCUGCGCCUGCACAUUCCUACAGCUUCUCAGAGUUCGUGGACAAUGACUGCGGAGACAAACCAUGCAGGAAACAGCC